Molecule: small nuclear RNA, 108 nt
Filed under: Sparus aurata (gilthead seabream)
Lineage: Eukaryota; Metazoa; Chordata; Actinopteri; Spariformes; Sparidae
Description: U2 spliceosomal RNA (ENSSAUG00010010403.1)
Rfam family: U2 spliceosomal RNA
About the family: U2 is a small nuclear RNA (snRNA) component of the spliceosome (involved in pre-mRNA splicing).
Source: Rfam by way of RNAcentral
AUAAAUUUUUUCGUAAGAAGAAAAUCUGUUCUUAUCAGUUUAAUAUCUGAUAUGUCCUCUAUAUGGGGACAACAUAUUAAAUGUUUUUUUUUUAGCCUCCCAGCCCAA